RNAcentral lists this unclassified non-coding RNA (482 nucleotides) under Phthiropsylla agenoris. RNAcentral's name for it is "sequence contains ITS2". The stretch from base 1 to 106 matches the Rfam family "5.8S ribosomal RNA", at positions 50 to 154 of the family's 154-position model. The record is from RNAcentral. Lineage: Eukaryota; Metazoa; Arthropoda; Insecta; Siphonaptera; Malacopsyllidae.
UAAUUGCGCGUCAACAUGUGAACUGCAGGAUACAUGAACAUUGACAUUUCGAACGCAUAUUGCGGUCCUCGGAUACUGUUCCCGGACCACGCCUGGCUGAGGGUCGUAUAUAUUACCAGACUGCUGCUUGCUUUUGUGCUUGUCAGCGAAUGAUGGGAUUUCGCGUAACUGCGUGUCCUUAAAUUAUAUCAUGGCGUUGGCGUCAGUCCCGAUUGCUACUAUGGCGUAUUCGCAUUCGCGGUCAGUACGUUUGGGAUUAGGGCGAGCUGUGUGUCCUAGAUUGAAUUCUUCGACCCGCUCGACAACCCGAAACCCGUCUGCUCGAUUGUGUUUCGUUUGCUUUCGGUGCGAUUAAGAGACAAACUCGUCUAAUUUGUGUUCGCGCUCAAAUGGUGUACUCUAGCAGUAUAUCGAGCGCGUUCAAAUCCAAAACGCGACCUCAGAGCAGGUGAGAUUACCCGCUGAAUUUAAGCAUAUUACUA